CAUGCAUGGCAGAAGGCAGAGAGAGAGACAGGAGUGGGUAGAGAGCACAAUGAGGACUGACAAUGAGAAAUGUGACGUUGCACUGAUAUACACCUACAAGCUCAACUGAGAAACUCAGUAUUAUGGAAGACAUGAGUAAGAGGAAAAUACUACUGAGAACAAACUUAUGAAACUGCCUUACAUUGUGUCAGACCAUUUGUCUAUCAAGUCUGUGCAUGGGCAGCCCAGAUGCCAAUUUGUAUGGCAUGAAGCUAUGUCUGCCAGCUUCCUGACUGUGGGAGUCAGCACCUCGGGAGUGCCCCCCUGAGUCCCACCCACUGCUGAACUGGGACCCCUGCAGAGUAUUCAGCGAUCCCUGAUGACUGGCCACAGACCAGCUGGAGUGGAAUGCUAGCCAUGUGUUCAAGGAGAUACCCAGGGUUGGUGUUGGUGUACCCAGGUACACAUCCCCAUGGUACACAUCCCGUCAAGAGGUUUCUUCCACAGGCAGGACCCAUCCAGCAAUCCAGCAACAUCCUGGUAAGCAGCCGGUGCCUCAAAUCAUCCUUGGCAGCAGCAAAACUGGCACAGGCCCCCCUCAGGAUGCCCUCCUACCCCUGAGCUCUCAGCUCCACAACAAGGCCACACACACACAGUAACACACAAUAUUAAGGCACCAAUCCAAUCCAAUUUCUUACAAAGACCAAUGGUUCAACCUUAGAAAUCUUUUGAACCAUUGGGUUCUGUAAGAAAUUGGAUUGGUGCCUUAAUAUUGCAUGUUACUGUGUGUCUUUCUGUGAAUGGAGUUGAUACUCCAACUUGGUGUUAUAUCCCAUUGCUCCUAACUGCUUUAAACUUUAUGAAAGCGCUGAAGAUAUUUGUUUAUUUGAAAUGAGUGAGAUUAAAUCCAGAAGCCUUGUCUUGGAUUUCAUACUUUGGAUCUCAUACUCUGGACUGGGAGCAGAUCUAUUUGAGUAUCUCACAAA
Molecule: long non-coding RNA, 965 nt
Organism: Gekko japonicus
Lineage: Eukaryota; Metazoa; Chordata; Lepidosauria; Squamata; Gekkonidae
Exons: 4
Source: RefSeq, a predicted model, not a curated record